CGCGAGCUCUACAGCUUCACACUUCGUCGGCGACAAGUGCGAAGCAGUUUUUAGAAGGACUUCCGGUCACACUUUUAAAGAAGAGGUUGCAGUUGUUAGGGACAGUGAUUCAAGCCGUAUCUCCACUGUCUCGGCAGUAACAACUGACUGUCCUGCAUAGAGCAAUGACCUCAAACACAUCCUUCAAGUGAAAAGAAAAAUUAAAUGUUCAAGUUCCGGUACUAUCUUGUCUGUUUGAUGCUCACUUGACGCUGGUCCAUUUCGCCACCGCUAUCUCCAGCAGACACACCCCGCCAGCGGUCAGACGGGAGCUGGACAUGAGAAUGAUGGUAGUUGUACACGCAGACGAUGCUGCCUUCAAGUACGGCUUGUGAGAUGCUAAAACUAGAUCAGUUUAGAACCUUUUUGAACAAGUUUCAAAGCACUACAAGUACCGCUUGUCCAUACUUAACAUGAGUUUAUGAUUGAUUUCUGGACACAGUCUAAAUGUGAAUAUAAUUUAGGGUCCUAAUAUUUUUCUAUUAACGUCCUAAAACAGGUAGUCAGUAUCCACAUAGAAGAGGCAGAGGGUAUAGUGGGGCUCAUUUCAUGGAUCUUCUUGGGUAGGGUUGGGAUUAGAAAAAGAUUCUGAAUUGGGUUAAACACAAUGGUUGUGACUUUUUAGAGGUCCACUUUCCCGAUGACUGUGUAAUUAUUUUUAGUUAUUAUUUUUGUUUUUAAUGACCAUUUCAUGUGUUGCCAUGAAACCAGGCUCUACUAUACAACAGACCCUUACCAUAACUCUAACACAAACCUAGUUUGCUAACUUUAACCCCAAAAGCAAGAAUUAACCCUCAAACACACUAUUGAAAUGAACAUGAAAGAAAGAAACCAUGUCAAAAAGUCAAAAUCUUACUAAUUAUGAACACUCAAGUGGUCCAAACUCUCACAAAACUGGAAAAGUGUGGAAAUAGUCAGUAUUUCUUAUGCUCUACUUAUUUAUUUAUUUUUUGUUUGUGAAUAUAAUUUUGCUUGUUCUCGCUACUGAACUGAUUUCUGUCUUCCUCAAAACACUUCCUGUAUAGUGCUGCCCACCCCAAUGAUACCAUAAUCAAAUGUGGUCAGGAUACUACAGUGUUUGGACCUGAAAUUGUCAGCUUAGAGUUCAGAAAACAGUCCACUGAACACACUCAAAACUAAAGAAAUCACCUUCAACUUCAGGAAGAAGCAGACAGGACACUUGAACAGGCAUGCCAGCUCAGUGUUGGAGGCUGUGGUGCCUGACAGAGUGCUGAGAAAGAGGAGCCUUAUGUUCCUGUGGGCUGCGCAGUGGCAAUCCGGCAACUCAUCUUAGAUUGCUAUGAUGUCAUCCAUAAAAUUUCCAAACAAGACUUCUGUCUACUCUUGAAAUGUGAAGAAUUAAUCCUUGCGUUCUGUUUAAUGUUUGAUAAGUGCAGACCUGGCUCCCUUCUACAUCAGCAUUAACUCUGCAGAGAUGGUAAACAUUAGUACUUUUUACCUUUAAAAAGCAUUUCUUCAGUGCAUUUGAAGGCGUGGCUGCUCUGUGUUGUUAUAUGUGGGAUAAUAACAAUACGGACUAAUUCUAACAGGAUGAUUCAGCUCCAUUGCCACAAGAACAGACGCAAGAAGUCUUUCAUAACUGCAAUAAUUGUGUAGAAUGAAACACCUGUUUAGCAGAGAAAUAUCUACUAUAUAUUCUCUGUUUAAUUUAUUUUUAUGUUUAAUUAAACUCAUUCAUG
This is a long non-coding RNA of Oreochromis niloticus (Nile tilapia), 1739 nucleotides long. RefSeq lists it as uncharacterized. NCBI's taxonomy places the organism in Eukaryota, Metazoa, Chordata, Actinopteri, Cichliformes, Cichlidae. The transcript is spliced from 3 exons. The record is from RefSeq and is a predicted model, not a curated record.